RNAcentral lists this ribosomal RNA (531 nucleotides) under Triticum aestivum (bread wheat). Its description in RNAcentral is "partial small subunit ribosomal RNA". Lineage: Eukaryota; Viridiplantae; Streptophyta; Magnoliopsida; Poales; Poaceae. The record is from RNAcentral.
AUGUAUACUGCAGCUUUCCUCGCCAUAUGGCUUUGCCUCUACGUCUUUGUUGGUGGUGGGCCAUAUAUUCACCCUGGGGUAUUAGUGAUGGCAGCAUGGAUUUCCCUAGGACGACGCAUCUCUCUGGGUCCACCUGCUCUUUGCUCCCUUUAUUACUCACUUCGGCGAAUUUGUACUCAUCCUAUUGGUCCCUCGUUUAUACAUAGAAUUUGGCCGGUCCACUUCCUUACUGGACGGAUGGGUGUGUACCUCAAGAAACCCUAUGGAAACAGAGCAAAAAAGCCACAUUUCCCGAGCCCUAAACUUUUGGCGGUGCAACCUAAUAUGGUGAAAACCAUGUUUAAGACGCCACGUGAUUGUACUCUUGAAGAAGCACAUGCUUUCCUCGAUGAUUAUAAGAAUAUUGCUUGGAACCCCUAUUACCUCACUAUGGAAGGUGUGUUCAAACCCAAGAGGGCGUUCUUAAUUUCUAUUCGUCGAGGCACAUGCUGCCGUGGAUGCAUGGUACUAUCACCUCCGACGUGUGUAUAG